This is a long non-coding RNA of Sander lucioperca (pikeperch), 702 nucleotides long. RefSeq lists it as uncharacterized. The record is from RefSeq and is a predicted model, not a curated record. The transcript has 2 exons. NCBI's taxonomy places the organism in Eukaryota, Metazoa, Chordata, Actinopteri, Perciformes, Percidae.
GUCAUCCUGGAAGAAGAAAGAAAAACACAAUCCAUAACUAACACGAUUACCCUUAUUGCACCCCCGUCUCUUUCUCUUUGGUAAAAUCUGUCUAAGGGUUGGACCUACUAAUCUGCAAAGAAAGCCAGCAAAUAAUCAACAGCAAAAAUGGGUGUUCUUACAAGGAAGCUCCAGUCCUGUGUGUCCUGUGGUGUUGCGUACACAUGGUGGGGAGUGUCUUCCAUCAGCCAUGUCGGACUCUGAACACUGAGCCUCGCCGUGAAUCACAGCCAGACCCAAACGCAGGCGUUCCGCAUAGGACUGAGCCCUAAAUAAAAAAUUUUAAAAAGGAGAGAAAAAAACAUGUAUGUGUAUGUAAUCAUAUUUAGUCACAUACAUUGCAAUUAUAUUUUUAAAAAAAACAUUUGUAUGAUGAAUAGUUCUGGUUUAAUGUAAUGUUUUUAUAUUAAGACCAUUAAAAUGUAAUUUCAUCAUAAGCUAACAGAAGGGGAGAACUAGCAGAGGUGACAUGGGUUCAUUUUUAUCCAUCAGUUACCUUUUAGCUGCUGACGGGGACUUUGCCACAAUGAUGGCAUUUCUGUAAUCGGGAAUCUGACAGGACGAAGAAGAACGGAUGUCAAUGUUUAUGACAAAUUGAUUGAUUGAUUUGGUUAAUAGGUUGGUUACCGACGCCUAUACCUAAACACGCACAGUAGACAAUAG